RNAcentral lists this ribosomal RNA (160 nucleotides) under uncultured bacterium. RNAcentral describes it as "partial 16S ribosomal RNA". It matches the Rfam family "Bacterial small subunit ribosomal RNA", at positions 374 to 527 of the family's 1533-position model. The record is from RNAcentral.
GGCGCAGCCUGAUCCAGCCAUGCCGCGUGUGUGAAGAAGGCCCUCGGGUUGUAAAGCACUUUUGUUGGGAAAGAAAUCUUGUCGGCCAAUACCCGGCAAGGAUGACGGUACCCAAAGAAUAAGCACCGGCUAACUUCGUGCCAGCAGCCGCGGUAAUACG